Molecule: ribosomal RNA, 301 nt
Filed under: uncultured bacterium
Lineage: Bacteria
Description: partial 16S ribosomal RNA
Rfam family: Bacterial small subunit ribosomal RNA
Source: RNAcentral
CAGUCGCCACGGGAAUACGUAGGGCGCAAGCGUUGUCCGGAAUUAUUGGGCGUAAAGAGCUCGUAGGCGGUCUGUCGCGUCUGGUGUGAAAUCCCGAGGCUCAACCUCGGGCUUGCAUCGGGUACGGGCAGACUAGAGUGCGGUAGGGGAGACUGGAAUUCCUGGUGUAGCGGUGGAAUGCGCAGAUAUCAGGAGGAACACCGAUGGCGAAGGCAGGUCUCUGGGCCGCAACUGACGCUGAGGAGCGAAAGCAUGGGAGCGAACAGGAUUAGAUACCCCAGUAGUCCCUGUCUCUUAUACA